AUGUUGUGUUUCCUCUGUGUACUAUGUGAGCUUAAGCGAGCGGAACACCAAAGGAGGGUCUUGGGGAUGACGGAGGCUUCGACGACAACCUCAAAGGCGAGAGGGUGCAGGCUACUCUCUCGUGACGCUGGCUUAGGAAAAGUUAUUCGGCUCCAUUUACGAUUGGUUCAUUUGGCUGUUGUAGUGCGUGUUCCGAUUGGUCUUUCGAUUCAUUGCCGCUACGUCCAUGUCAGCGCAAGGAGACGAACUAUUCGUAGGUGUCAGAUAACACCUCCCCUACUUCUCUUCCUCACGAAGCAAAGGAGGCUCGGUGGGGGAUGCUAUGAUGAAUUGGGCUGA
This 339-nucleotide ribosomal RNA is filed under the name Triticum aestivum (bread wheat). RNAcentral's name for it is "partial small subunit ribosomal RNA". Lineage: Eukaryota; Viridiplantae; Streptophyta; Magnoliopsida; Poales; Poaceae. The record is from RNAcentral.